CCUGAAACCGUGUACGUACAAGCAGUGGGAGCACAGGUUUACCUGUGUGACUGCGUACCUUUUGUAUAAUGGGUCAGCGACUUAUAUUCUGUAGCAAGGUUAACCGAAUAGGGGAGCCGUAGGGAAAUGAAUACGUACCCAUAACGCCCAGCCCGCCAGCAGCAUAUAUAUCGGGGCAACGCACAGCGAGGCGCUAAUCAUGCCGCGUAGUACGCGCGGAUAGGGUAAUACGCGCUUUUGCGGUUCAUUGACAA
Molecule: ribosomal RNA, 254 nt
Filed under: Salmonella enterica subsp. enterica serovar Kentucky
Lineage: Bacteria; Pseudomonadati; Pseudomonadota; Gammaproteobacteria; Enterobacterales; Enterobacteriaceae
Description: partial 23S ribosomal RNA
Rfam family: Bacterial large subunit ribosomal RNA
Source: RNAcentral